Molecule: ribosomal RNA, 859 nt
Filed under: Orthops scutellatus
Lineage: Eukaryota; Metazoa; Arthropoda; Insecta; Hemiptera; Miridae
Description: SSU rRNA
Rfam family: Eukaryotic small subunit ribosomal RNA
Source: RNAcentral
CCCCGUAAUUCGGAAAUGAGUAACACCUUUAAAUCCCUUUUAACAAGGAUUCCAUUGAAGGGCAAGUCUGGUGCCAGCAGCCGCGGUAAUUCCAGCUUCCAAUAGCGUAUAUUAAAAGUUGUUGCGGUUAAAAAAGCUCGUAGUUGGUUCUGCGUGCCACGCUGUCGGUUUCGCCGCCYGCCGGUGUAACUGGCAUGUCGUGGCAUGUCCUGUCGGUGGCGUUCGGGAGCCUUGUCUAGGCGACGGCCCUUGCCCAAAGCUUGGUGUUCGGAGGCCGGAGGUCCACCCGUUCGCCUACUCUAUCCUACCUAGGUGCUCUUCACCGAGUGUCGAGGUAGGCCGACACGUUUACUUUGAACAAAUUAGAGUGCUCAAAGCAGGCUGAAAUCUCUGCCUGAAUAGUGGUGCAUGGAAUAAUAAAACAGGACCUUGGUUCUAUUUUGUUGGUUCUUAGGAACACAAGGUAAUGAUCAAUACGGACAGGCGGGGGCAUUCGUAUUGCGACGUUAGAGGUGAAAUUCUUGGAUCGUCGCAAGACGCACAAGAGCGAAAGCAUUUGCCAAGUAUGUCUUGAUUGAUCAAGAACGAAAGUUAGAGGUUCGAAGGCGAUCAGAUACCGCCCUAGUUCUAACCAUAAACGAUGCCAGCCAGCGAUCCGCCGAUGUUCCUCCGAUGACUCGGCGGGGAGCUUCUUCCCGGGAAACCAAAGCUUUUGGGUUCCGGGGGAAGUAUGGUUGCAAAGCUGAAACUUAAAGGAAUUGACGGAAGGGCACCACCAGGAGUGGAGCCUGCGGCUUAAUUUGACUCAACACGGGAAACCUCACCAGGCCAGGACAUUGGAAGGAUUGACAGAUUGAUA